GACAGAGGGUGCAAACGUUGUUCGGAAUUACUGGGCGUAAAGCGUGUGUAGGCGGUCUCUUAAGUCGGACGUGAAAUCCCUCGGCUCAACCGGGGAACUGCGUCCGAUACUGGAUGGCUUGAGUUCGGGAGAGGGAUGCGGAAUUCCAGGUGUAGCGGUGAAAUGCGUAGAUAUCUGGAGGAAUACCGGUGGCGAAGGCGGCAUCCUGGACCGACAUUGACGCUGAACGGCGAAAGCUAGGGGAGCAAACGGG
RNAcentral lists this ribosomal RNA (253 nucleotides) under uncultured bacterium. RNAcentral's name for it is "partial 16S ribosomal RNA". It matches the Rfam family "Bacterial small subunit ribosomal RNA", at positions 524 to 776 of the family's 1533-position model. The record is from RNAcentral.